UCUAAUUACAAUACCAAACAAUGGCAUAAUAUAAACAUGUUAGCUGGUAAUCUCAGAAUCAGAACCUUAGAUUUACAUGUUCAGAGUGUAUUAAUGAUCCGACCGAAUUCAUAACAAAAUUCUACUCAGAAAGGAGGCGGCUAUUAAUAUUUAAUAUAAAUUAAUCUAUUUCUAAUUUUUUAUUUUGAUUGAAUUGAAGCUUCACUAAGAAAAAAAGGAUUUAUAAUUUUAUUAAAGGAGAAAAAAAACGGAACAGUUUUAAGGAUUUCCUAUAAUAAAUAGAGCUAAUCUGGAGAAGGUGAUCUAAAGUUAAUUUUGAGUUAUGCACGCUCAACUUGUCCCUCGAGUAGUAUUCUUUUCGAAUUUCUAUGGAAAGAAGAUAAAUCCGAGAAUUUUAAGAAUUACUUAAAAUAUAAGUUUUCUUACAUGCAGUACAAUUAACAACUAAAUGAUUUUUAAUAAAUUUUACAUUUUGAUUGUAUUAAAAAUAUGGAAAAUAAAAUAAAAUAUUCUUUAAUAUAAAAUCAA
Molecule: long non-coding RNA, 528 nt
Organism: Condylostylus longicornis
Lineage: Eukaryota; Metazoa; Arthropoda; Insecta; Diptera; Dolichopodidae
Exons: 2
Source: RefSeq, a predicted model, not a curated record